GCGAGGCCGACAGGCGUAGUCGAUGGACAACGGGUUGAUAUUCCCGUACCGGCGAAGAACCGCCCAUACCGAGCCCGGUGAUGCUAAGCGCCCGAGCCGGCACAUCGUCCCUUCGGGGACACCGUGCCGGGGAGCGCGUGACCCGAACCGGUAGUAGGUAAGCGUAUUAACAGGGGUGACGCAGGAAGGUAGCCAAGCGUGGCGAUGGUAGUCCACGUCCAAGGUCGUAGGGCGAGGUGUAGGCAAAUCCGCACCUCAUAUAGCCUGAGAGCUCACGGUGACCGCGAAUGCGGGAAUCUGGUGAUCCUAUGCUGCCAAGAAAAGCCUCGACGCGAGGUUCUAGCCGCCCGUACCCCAAACCGACUCAGGUGAUCAGGUAGAGAAUACCAAGGCGAUCGAGAGAAUCGUGGUUAAGGAACUCGGCAAAAUGCCCCCGUAACUUCGGGAGAAGGGGGGCCUGAAGCGUGAUCCGGCUAGCCCGGGGAGCGUGAAGGGCCGCAGAGACCAGGGAGAAGCGACUGUUUACUAAAAACACAGGUCCGUGCGAAGUCGCAAGACGAUGUAUACGGACUGACGCCUGCCCGGUGCUGGAAGGUUAAGAGGACGGGUCAGCCGCAAGGCGAAGCUCAGAAUUUAAGCCCCAGUAAACGGCGGUGGUAACUAUAACCAUCCUAAGGUAGCGAAAUUCCUUGUCGGGUAAGUUCCGACCUGCACGAAUGGCGUAACGACUUCUCCGCUGUCUCAACCGCGAACUCGGCGAAAUUGCACUACGAGUAAAGAUGCUCGUUACGCGCAGCAGGACGGAAAGACCCCGGGACCUUUACUAUAGCUUGGUAUUGGUGUUCGGUGCGGCUUGUGUAGGAUAGGUGGGAGACUGUGAAGCCGGCACGCCAGUGUCGGUGGAGUCAACGUUGAAAUACCACUCUGGUCGCUCUGGAUAUCUAACCUCGGUCCGUGAUCCGGAUCAGGGACAGUGCCUGGUGGGUAGUUUAACUGGGGCGGUUGCCUCCUAAAAUGUAACGGAGGCGCUCAAAGGUUCCCUCAGCCUGGUUGGCAAUCAGGUGGCGAGUGCAAGUGCACAAGGGAGCUUGACUGUGAGACUGACAGGUCGAGCAGGGACGAAAGUCGGAACUAGUGAUCCGGCGGUGGCUUGUGGAAGCGCCGUCGCUCAACGGAUAAAAGGUACCCCGGGGAUAACAGGCUGAUCUUGCCCAAGAGUCCAUAUCGACGGCAUGGUUUGGCACCUCGAUGUCGGCUCGUCGCAUCCUGGGGCUGGAGUAGGUCCCAAGGGUUGGGCUGUUCGCCCAUUAAAGCGGUACGCGAGCUGGGUUUAGAACGUCGUGAGACAGUUCGGUCCCUAUCCGCUGCGCGCGCAGGAAACUUGAGAAGGGCUGUCCCUAGUACGAGAGGACCGGGACGGACGAACCUCUGGUGUGCCAGUUGUUCCGCCAGGAGCACGGCUGGUUAGCUACGUUCGGAAGGGAUAACCGCUGAAAGCAUCUAAGCGGGAAGCCUGCUUCAAGAUGAGGUUUCCAUGCCCCCUUGAGGGGUGAGAGGCUCCCAGCUAGACCACUGGGUAGAUAGGCCGGAUGUGGAAGAGGGGACUAAAGACCCUCGCAGCUGACCGGUACUAAUAAGCCGACAACUUCACCAC
RNAcentral lists this ribosomal RNA (1654 nucleotides) under Cellulomonas fengjieae. RNAcentral describes it as "Cellulomonas sp. zg-ZUI188 partial 23S ribosomal RNA". It matches the Rfam family "Bacterial large subunit ribosomal RNA", at positions 1396 to 2925 of the family's 2925-position model. Lineage: Bacteria; Bacillati; Actinomycetota; Actinomycetes; Micrococcales; Cellulomonadaceae. The record is from RNAcentral.